AUACGGAGGGGGUUAGCGUUGUUCGGAAUUACUGGGCGUAAAGCGUACGUAGGCGGAUCGGAAAGUAAGGGGUGAAAUCCCAGGGCUCAACCCUGGAACUGCCUCUUAAACUCCCGGUCUUGAGUUCGAGAGAGGUGAGUGGAAUUCCUAGUGUAGAGGUGAAAUUCGUAGAUAUUAGGAGGAACACCAGUGGCGAAGGCGGCUCACUGGCUCGAUACUGACGCUGAGGUACGAAAGUGUGGGGAGCAAACAGAAUUAGAAACCCUAGUAGUCC
Molecule: ribosomal RNA, 274 nt
Filed under: uncultured bacterium
Lineage: Bacteria
Description: partial 16S ribosomal RNA
Rfam family: Bacterial small subunit ribosomal RNA
Source: RNAcentral